AAUAGAUACCCGGGUAGUCCACGCCGUAAACGAUGUCGACUUGGAGGUUGUUCCCUUGAGGAGUGGCUUCCGGAGCUAACGCGUUAAGUCGACCGCCUGGGGAGUACGGCCGCAAGGUUAAAACUCAAAUGAAUUGACGGGGGCCCGCACAAGCGGUGGAGCAUGUGGUUUAAUUCGAUGCAACGCGAAGAACCUUACCUACUCUUGACAUCCACGGAACUUAGCAGAGAUGCUUUGGUGCCUUCGGGAACCGUGAGACAGGUGCUGCAUGGCUGUCGUCAGCUCGUGUUGUGAAAUGUUGGGUUAAGUCCCGCAACGAGCGCAACCCUUAUCCUUUGUUGCCAGCGGUUAGGCCGGGAACUCAAAGGAGACUGCCAGUGAUAAACUGGAGGAAGGUGGGGAUGACGUCAAGUCAUCAUGGCCCUUACGAGUAGGGCUACACACGUGCUACAAUGGCGCAUACAAAGAGAAGCGACCUCGCGAGAGCAAGCGGACCUCAUAAAGUGCGUCGUAGUCCGGAUUGGAGUCUGCAACUCGA
Molecule: ribosomal RNA, 538 nt
Filed under: uncultured bacterium
Lineage: Bacteria
Description: bacterial SSU rRNA
Rfam family: Bacterial small subunit ribosomal RNA
Source: RNAcentral